RNAcentral lists this ribosomal RNA (2377 nucleotides) under metagenome. Its description in RNAcentral is "bacterial LSU rRNA". It matches the Rfam family "Bacterial large subunit ribosomal RNA", at positions 14 to 2412 of the family's 2925-position model. The record is from RNAcentral.
AGGGCGUAUGGGGAAUGCCUAGGCACACUCCGGCGAAGAAGGACGCAGCAAACAGCGAAAUGCGACGGUGAGCGGUAAGCACGUGAAGAGCCGUCGAUAUCCGAAUGGGGGAACCCACACGGAGUCAUAUCCGUGUAUCACAUGUCGAAUACAUAGACAUGAUGAGGCGAGACGCAGGGAACUGAAACAUCUAAGUACCUGCAGGAAGAGAAAAUAAGAAUGAUUUUCUGAGUAGCGGCGAGCGAAAGGGAAAGAGCCCAAACCGAUCUGAGGAUCGGGGUAGUAGGAUCAUCGAUAAAUCAAACAGAGGAUCAUAGAGGAAUCACAUGGGAAGGUGAGCGAGAGAGGGUGAGAGCCCCGUACUCGAAAUGAGAGACUGGAGAGAGAUGACACCUGAGUAGGGCGGGACACGAGAAAUCCUGUCUGAAUCAGCCGGGACCAUCCGGCAAGGCUAAAUACGAGAGAGUGACCGAUAGUGAACCAGUACCGUGAGGGAAAGGUGAAAAGAACCCCGGGAGGGGAGUGAAAGAGAACCUGAAACCAUAUGCCUACAAGAAGUCAGAGCCCGUUAAAGGGUGAUGGCGUGCCUUUUGUAGAAUGAACCGGCGAGUUACUGUAUGGAGCGAGGUUAAGCAGGAUAUGCGGAGCCGAAGCGAAAGCGAGUCUUAAGAGGGCGCGAGUUGCAUGCAGUAGACCCGAAACCGGGUGAUCUAGCCAUGACCAGGUUGAAGUUGGGGUAAAACCCGAUGGAGGACCGAACCGACCCCCGUUGAAACGUUGGCGGAUGAGUUGUGGCUAGGGGUGAAAUUCCAAUCGAACCCGGAGAUAGCUGGUUCUCCCCGAAAUAGCUUUAGGGCUAGCGUCGAGAGAAGAGUUGCGUGAAGGUAGAGCACUGAAUAUGUGAUGGCCCCAUCUCGGGGUACUGAGCAUAAUCAAACUGCGAAUGUCACGCCAACAUGCUCGGCAGUCAGACAGCGGGUGAUAAGGUCCGUUGUCAAGAGGGAAACAGCCCAGACCAUCAGCUAAGGUCCCAAAAUGUAUGCUAAGUGGAAAAGGAUGUGGAGAUGUACAGACAACUAGGAGGUUGGCUCAGAAGCAGCCAUCCUUUAAAGAGUGCGUAACAGCUCACUAGUCGAAUGACUCUGCGCCGAUAAUUUACCGGGGCUAAGCAUACUACCGAAGCUAUGGAUCCCAAGGGAUGGUAGGGGAGCGUUCCAUGAACGGAGAAGUACGACCGAAAGGACGUGUGGAGAUCAUGGAAGAGAGAAUGCCGGUGUGAGUAGCGGAACGUGGGUGAGAAUCCCACGCACCGAAAACCCAAGGUUUCCAGAGGAAGGUUCGUCCGCUCUGGGUAAGUCGGGACCUAAGGCGAGGCCGAAAGGCGUAGUCGAUGGACAACAGGUAGAGAUUCCUGUACCCGUAUAUAUGUGAAGGAAUGACGGAGAGAGGAAGCUGCAGCCAGCGGCUGGAAGAGCUGGUGCAAGCGAGAUAUCGGGAUGGCAGGCAAAUCCACCAUCCGAAACGAGAAGGCGUGAAGCGUACGGAAAGCUACGGCGAGUACGGAAGGCAGUGGAGGAACUUCCAAGAAAAGUUUCUAACGUUAAGUAUAUAUGGCCCGUACCGAAAAUGGACACACAUGGGUGAGGAGAGAAUCCUAAGGUGAGCGAGAGAACUAUAGCUAAGGAACUCUGCAAAAUGACUCCGUAACUUAGGGAGAAGGAGUGCUCAUAGAGAUAUGAGCCGCAGUGAAACGGCCCAAGCGACUGUUUACCAAAAACACAGCUCUCUGCUAAGCCGCAAGGCGAAGUAUAGGGGGUGACGCCUGCCCGGUGCUGGAAGGUUAAGGGGAGGGGUUAACGCAAGUGAAGCCCUGAACUGAAGCCCCAGUAAACGGCGGCCGUAACUAUAACGGUCCUAAGGUAGCGAAAUUCCUUGUCAGGUAAGUUCUGACCCGCACGAAAGGCGUAACGAUUUGGGCGCUGUCUCAGCUGUAGACUCGGUGAAGUCUUAGUACCUGUGAAGAUGCAGGUUACCCGCGACUAGACGGAAAGACCCCAUGGAGCUUCACUGCAGGUUGAUAUUGGGAUUUGAUGCAGCAUGUACAGGAUAGGUAGGAGGCAAAGAGAUGGAUACGCCAGUAUUCAAGGAGCCGCUGUUGGGAUACUACCCCUGUUGUAUUGGAUUUCUAACCGGACGACGUAGAGCCGUUGACGGGACAGUGUCAGUCGGGCAGUUUGACUGGGGCGGUCGCCUCCCAAAGAGUAACGGAGGCGCCCAAAGAUACCCUCAGCUUGGAUGGAAACCAAGCGCAGAGUGCAAAGGCAAAAGGGUGUUUGACUGCGAGACCCACAAGUCGAGCAGGGACGAAAGUCGGGCU